Molecule: long non-coding RNA, 462 nt
Organism: Strongylocentrotus purpuratus (purple sea urchin)
Lineage: Eukaryota; Metazoa; Echinodermata; Echinoidea; Camarodonta; Strongylocentrotidae
Exons: 3
Source: RefSeq, a predicted model, not a curated record
GUACACAGGAUAGGGCAGAUUAAUAAACUGGAUGCAGUUCAAAGGAGGGCGGCACGCUUCGUAACAGGAAACUACCAAAGGGACAGCAGUGUCACACAAAUGCAGACCUGCCUUGAAUGGGAAUCACUUGAACGCAGGAGGGAAAAGAGUCGUUUGGUUAUGCUGUACAAAAUCUACAAGCGAAAGGUGGGCCUAAAGCAAGAGGACUACAUACAAGUAUCAACAGGGUCAAGGUUAAGAAGAAACCACCAUCACUCAAUAGAAAUCCCCUUUGCCAGAAAGGACGUAUACAAAUACUCCUUUUUUCCAAAAACUGGACGAGCAUGGAAUACCCUCGACCAGCAGUCUGUAAUAGCUACAUCAGUUGAUAAUUUCAGAAACACACUCUAGCAUGCAUCACCUGCCAUACAAGUAAGCGACAUGCGGAAUACCGCCCUGCUGACUCCAAUUUCAGAAGGUUCA